This 253-nucleotide ribosomal RNA is filed under the name uncultured bacterium. RNAcentral describes it as "partial 16S ribosomal RNA". It matches the Rfam family "Bacterial small subunit ribosomal RNA", at positions 524 to 776 of the family's 1533-position model. The record is from RNAcentral.
UACGUAGGGUGCAAGCGUUGUCCGGAAUUAUUGGGCGUAAAGAGCUCGUAGGCGGUCUGUCGCGUCUGCUGUGAAAACUCGGGGCUUAACCCCGGGCCUGCAGUGGGUACGGGCAGACUAGAGUGCGGUAGGGGAGACUGGAAUUCCUGGUGUAGCGGUGAAAUGCGCAGAUAUCAGGAGGAACACCGGUGGCGAAGGCGGUUCUCUGGGCCGUAACUGACGCUGAGGAGCGAAAGCGUGGGGAGCGAACAGG